Long non-coding RNA from Struthio camelus australis, 4127 nucleotides. Ensembl lists it as uncharacterized. NCBI's taxonomy places the organism in Eukaryota, Metazoa, Chordata, Aves, Struthioniformes, Struthionidae. The record is from Ensembl.
AAGGAAGUGGAGACAGAAGAACUUGAAGGUGUUGCUUCUUGUCUUUCAGGGCCAGAGUUUUCAUGGAUAUUGGCAUACGUUUCUAUGAGAAGCUGCCACAGAGUCCUGCAGGACAAGUAUGGGGAGUUUUCUCCUCCAGCAUAUCACAGCGAUGCCCCAAUAAGCUUCUGGUGCAACUGGACUAUCCAGGCGGGCUCCAGAAAGCACAUAAUCAUUUAUAUUCAGGGAUUUAUGACUAAGGAGGAUUGCAACAAAAAUGAGGACAAAAUCUUGUUUGAAGGAGUUUCCUCACUGGUAGAGGACAGUGUGGUUUAUGCUUGCUGGAAAAAGGAGAUGCAUGUUUUUGCCACCUUUGCUGAGGCCGUCCAUGUUGUGUUACUGAAGACAUACCUGCCCAACUGCAGAGACACGCAAUUUAAAGGCAAGUAUUACAUCUUUCACGAUGAGGAAGGUGAAUCAUCCUCGAGAGAGGAUCUGAUUUCUGAAACUCCUUCAAAAGUACCGAAGCGAGAUCAUAUUCUUCAGUCUGGGGUGAUGGAAGACCUUAGAGAUGUGCUGAGCUUUGCAACCACUGCGAGCCUUGGGAGUCUUGAUAAGCCCACGGCAGUUAGCACUUUGAUCCCAGUGUCGCACCAAGGGCUGAGGACAGAGCUGCUGGAAACAAAUGCUCCUUAUGUGCUGGGCUGCCUGUGGCCGGCAGCUCCAGCGCUCUGUGGGCAGGACCCAGGCAGAGGAAGCUCUUGGAGUGCAAGCCCCACUGCAACCCUGGAUACCUGGAGGCCCAGUCUCUCCAUGAGUGGAGACAUUGCUGUGGAUUUUGGUUAUAUACAUGGAUUUUCAAGCGUGCUUUCUGAAACACCGUUGCUUGGUGCUUUGGAGGGAGAGGAGCCUUUCCUGGGGCCUGCUGGUGUGGGCUUGGAGAGCAGGCAGGUGUCCCUGAACCCUUCUCUGCAGCCCAAAGAUCUGGGAGACCCACAGUUUAACAUCAAACCAACGCACAUGAGUGACCUGGACUUGGCUGCACCUUCACAGGCUUUGUCUCCCAGCAGAGAAGAGGGCAUUGAUCCUGCCGUGUACCAGGGGCUCAGCACAGUUGGGUUGGAGAAGACCAAAAGGUGUCCCCUGUUGAGCAGUGUGGCUGAUGGAGCAGCGAGCAGUCUUGCCGAGAGCCUGAUGCCUAGCUUGACUAGCCAAAACGAUCUGGUAAAUGGGGGUCACUCACCACUGCUACCUGGGAGAAGCUUUUUUGAGGCUUUGUCCGUGACUGAACCUGAGCUGAGAACAAGUGUCCUCCAGCAUAUGACGUUUGUGGGUUUUCCUGCUCCGGGAAGUUUCAGGGGAGUUACUGAUGAGGUGAAGAAGGUGCUACAUCCUACAGCAUCGUGGGACAUCCUCAGAGGCCAACCUCAGCUGAGCACCCAGAGCAGCCAUGUCCUCCAGUUAGUCCCUACUGACCCCAGGAGGGUUGGCCCAUGCAGUGAUCAUGUGCCCUGUGCGCCCUCUUUGGGUGUGAAAAACUGUGGCUCUCUGAGCAGCACUGUGACACAGCUGCCGUUGGCCAUUCCCCUUCUGCCAGCAGCAUGGGGAUGUGCUCCCUCCACGUCAGAGCCAGUAUUUUCCACCCUGGGGAUGGAAAUGACUCCGAUGCUGGUGUGUCCCAGCCUAGACCCUGCCUCAACAGAGCUCGGCUCCCCUGAUUUCACCCUGGCAGCAUCUUUGCCUGCAGAACAGACUGCGGAGCUGGGGAUGUCAGAGCCUUUUGCUGUUUUCACUGCAAAUGCUGAGGCCUUCACAGCACUGCCAACCUGGGAGCUGGGGGGACUUGUCGAGGGGAUGGAGCCCCCUGUGCCAGCAGCCUUUCCCCUGGAAGGCUUGGACAAGGCUUGGACCUCCAUCUCCCCAAGCCCUCGACAGGGAAGUGACCUUAUGGGUCCCUUUGUGGCCUCCUCCAGCUGCCUCGGCCCCGGUGUGAGAAAGCUCGUGCUGGAUGGGGAUGGAGAGGAGGGCAGCUGGAGAGGUGAAGUGUUGGCUCCUGCAGGCUGGGCAGACAAGGGACCCAUCCCUGCUGCCAGUGCUGCUUGGCAGCAGGUCCUCGACCCACAGCUUGGCAUGGGGCUUCCUCAGCCAGAGGACCUGGUGGCGGCAUCUCUCCCAUCAGCACCUGUGUCUCUGCCCUCUGAUGACCCCGUAUCCCAAAACAUACGGAUACCAGCAGGAGGAGAACGUCACAAACAUGCUGAGCUGGGAUCGCCCUGGACAAUGGAGUACUUCCCUGUUAGGAGCUGCCACAUCAUCUUGCAGGGUGAAUUUGGCUUGUUCUACCUGCCGCUGCACAGUGACAUUAAAACCAAUGUUUGGUGCAACUGGACCAUCUGGGCCGGCCCCCAGAAACACAUCCUGAUCUAUGUCCAGGGGUUUCAGGCGAGUGAAGGCUGUGAUAAGAACCAGGAUAAGAUAAUUUUCCAAGGGGUCUUGUCCGAUGUGGAAACAAAAGUAGUGUAUGCCUGCCACAACCGAGGUACUCUGAUCUUUGCUACACAAGCUACUGCGGUCCAUGUGUUACUUCUAUCAGGGGGUAGUUCCAAAUACAAACAUUUUAAAGGACGGUAUUAUGUAUUCAGAGACUAUACAACUGUGGGCUCUUCAAAUGAUGCAAUAGCUCCUGUCUGGGAAAUCUCCAAGACAGAUAUCUCCAGCAAGGUCAGACACCCUCAUGCUCCCAAAGAUGCUAAUGGAGGUGAGCUCAGUCUGCUGGAAGAUGAAACGGAGCUGGAAAGAAGCCUUAGAGAUGGCAGUGCUGAGGGGAGAGGAGAGAGUGAAGAUGUGUUGGUGGAGCCACCUGCAGCCAGGGGAGACACUGGGGGAAAUACCAAGCUGCCAGCCUUGGAGAUCACAGAGCGAGGUGUACAGCCUGAGCCUGCUCUGGUCCCCACAGCCCCCUGUAGCACCACGGAUGUCCCUUUGGAAGCACCCAGCAGCUCUGCAGGGCCCUCAGCUGCUGAAAUCCUGCCUAACCUCGCUCAGAUGCGCAGCAGCCUGUUGGCGGGAGUGGCUGCUGCCACUGGGCGUUUGCAUGCACAGACGGUGGUGAUGGAAGGGCCACCACUUAACGCGAGUGUGAAACCUUCUCCUCUCUACCCAUCUCCUGGUAUGACUGCUGAAGAUACGGUGAUGCCAGGAGAAAGGCACGAAGAUCUCUUCGAUCUGGCUUCUGUUUUGGCAUCCCUUGAGAAUGAUACUGUGCUACGAUCCCAGCACCAUCCUGGAGAUGUGCUGUUUGAAGUAACCAUUGAAACCAAACACGUGGACUGGGUCCCUCGUGGUGGAAGUGAGCUCAGAAAGGACCUUCUUGAAUCCAUGAAGAGUCAUAUCCGGGAGAACCUGAAACUCUCCACCAACAGAGUGAAUGAAAUAAAAUUAAAGGAAAUCAGAAGGGUGGGCAGAGACAACCUACUGCUCACCUUCUGGCUCCACCUGAAGCCCGAGGAGAGGAACCUGUCUCUGGCCCUGCAGUCGCAGCUGCAGGAGCUGCUUGGCACAUCUGUGGGAGCAGAGAGGCCGCGGCUGGUUUCGCUCUUUGUUGAAGAUGUGAACGAGUGCAACCUCGGCCUCUGCGGCGAGGAGGCCGACUGCUUCAACGGUGUGGGCACCUACCUGUGUCGCUGCAAGAAGGACUACGAAGAUCACUCCCCUACAAAAUCUGGCACGCUGUGCAUCCCCGCGCCCCGGUCAGGCAUCAGCUUUUUCUUCCGCCAUCCCGAGGUGCUGGUGGGGGCUGCUGUCUCCUCAGUGCUGGUGCUGCUGGUGGCCGUGGGCAUCCUGUGCGGGGUGGCAAGGCAACGGCGCCCCACCGGGGAUCCCUGCCCCGAGGAGCCGGGUGCCCAGUCCGAGGAGUCGUCACCAGUGGCAGUGGUGAUGGAGCUGAACCACCUGGAUGACUGCCUCCGCCUUGAGCCCUUCCAGCUCAAGGUCCGCGCGCGGCCCCCGGACUGGAUCUCCCAAGCCCGUGCCAGCCCUGGCCAGGCCUAUGGGGUCUUCAUCGAGCAGGAUGAGAGCCUGUGAUUGGCUGGUGAGGGAGGAGAGAAAGCUCAGAGCAACAAAACAAUAAAAACAAGAUGCAACCAGCA